This 332-nucleotide transfer-messenger RNA is filed under the name uncultured Roseovarius sp. RNAcentral's name for it is "Alphaproteobacteria transfer-messenger RNA". It matches the Rfam family "Alphaproteobacteria transfer-messenger RNA". Rfam says of the family: Bacterial tmRNA, also known as 10Sa RNA or SsrA, is named for its dual tRNA and mRNA-like properties. Its role is to liberate the mRNA from a stalled ribosome. Lineage: Bacteria; Pseudomonadati; Pseudomonadota; Alphaproteobacteria; Rhodobacterales; Roseobacteraceae. The record is from RNAcentral.
AAAACCCCUAUAUGUGAGGUGUUCCCGGCAACGGGAACUAUGGGCAUAAACGCGCUCGGAAUAAGCGGAUCGGACCCGGGGGCGGUACCCGGCGGCUCCACCAGAUUCCCGUCGUUGGGGGACAGAGGGGCCGAAACAGGAUCGACGAACGUGUAAAGGGGUGGCUUUGUCCCGGUGAGAUACCACCGUUAUCGGUUCAUCAAGCAUAAUUGCCAACGACAAUCGUGCUCCGGUGGCCGUUGCCGCGUAAGCGGUAACCAAACCGAAACCUUGAAGCCCUUGCCUCUAGCAAGGUAAGGCGGGGUUCGCAGGCACCUGGCAACAGAAGCCUG